GCUGGGGGUAGAGCUCAGUGGUAAAGCACUUACCUAGCAUGUGGGAGGCCCUGGAUUCAAUCCCCAGCACAGAA
Molecule: transfer RNA, 74 nt
Filed under: Marmota monax (woodchuck)
Lineage: Eukaryota; Metazoa; Chordata; Mammalia; Rodentia; Sciuridae
Description: tRNA.Ala
Source: RNAcentral